GAUGAACGCUGGCGGCGUGCCUAAUACAUGCAAGUCGAGCGAACAGACGAGGAGCUUGCUCCUCUGACGUUAGCGGCGGACGGGUGAGUAACACGUGGAUAACCUACCUAUAAGACUGGGAUAACUUCGGGAAACCGGAGCUAAUACCGGAUAAUAUAUUGAACCGCAUGGUUCAAUAGUGAAAGACGGUUUUGCUGUCACUUAUAGAUGGAUCCGCGCCGCAUUAGCUAGUUGGUAAGGUAACGGCUUACCAAGGCAACGAUGCGUAGCCGACCUGAGAGGGGGCUCGGCCCCCCUGGAACUGAGACACGGUCCAGACUCCUACGGGAGGCAGCAGUAGGGAAUCUUCCGCAAUGGGCGAAAGCCUGACGGAGCAACGCCGCGGGAGGAAUGAAGGUUUUCGGAUCGUAAACCUCUUUUAUUGGGGAAAAACAAAUGUGUAAGUAACUAUGCCCGUUUUGCCGGUACCUAACCAGAAAGCCCCGGCUAACUACGU
RNAcentral lists this ribosomal RNA (496 nucleotides) under uncultured bacterium. Its description in RNAcentral is "partial 16S ribosomal RNA". It matches the Rfam family "Bacterial small subunit ribosomal RNA", at positions 28 to 506 of the family's 1533-position model. The record is from RNAcentral.